Long non-coding RNA from Pyrgilauda ruficollis (rufous-necked snowfinch), 922 nucleotides. RefSeq lists it as uncharacterized. The record is from RefSeq and is a predicted model, not a curated record. NCBI's taxonomy places the organism in Eukaryota, Metazoa, Chordata, Aves, Passeriformes, Passeridae. The transcript has 4 exons.
CGGAGCCGCCCCCCCGGGCCCGAGCGGCGGCCGCGGGAAGCGGGGCGGGAGCGGCGGCCCCGAAAAGGAGCUCGGGCGGCCCUCUCGCCCCACGGCUCCCGGGCUGGCGGCCGUAGCCAGCUCAGCUCUGCUGUGAUGCCACAUCCAAUACCUGCAAGCCAAACACAAACUAGCCACUUCAUUUAUUGCCAAUGAACUGAUUUGUUUGAGCUGAGAAGGGUCAACAGAUAAAGGAAAUCUGUGUGUUUAUGGGGAAAAGACAGUGCAGAUGCCAAGAAAAUAUGGCUGGGAGGCAACUGGAAAGCCAAGGGACAGUGAGUGACUGGCAGCAGUCAAAGGCCACCUCUGGGCCCCUUUGGGUGGGGCAUGGUUGCACCUGAGCUCUUCCGGCUCCUGUUUGUCCAGCGAGUGCAGCAGCUGCCCGGCACAUUCCCGGCUUCUCCGGAGCUUUGUUUCCUGACCAACACCCAUUUGCAGUAUUUCCCAAACAAGCGGAGGCUCAUCACCAUCGCUCCCACUCCCUCUUCCCCUUCCAAUUGUCCCUGCGGGCUGGGGAGCAGCCGAGUUCAAACAAUCCGUGCUCGGGCAUCGGCCGGGCAGGACGUGAAGCAUUAACGAGUUUAAUAGCAGCAAACAGAUAAAAGGUUUCAAAGGGCAUCAUUAAAAAAUAUCCCUGUGGCACAGGUCUGUGAUACCCCAGGGCUUCAACAUGAGGUGCAGAAACCUGUGACUGCCGCCUUCUGAAAUCCUUCCCAAUUGUUUAAAAAAUUAUAAAAAUCCACAUUUAAUUUCAUUUUCGUUUAGUUUAGUUUAAGAAACAGGGUUCUCCCUGCCUAUGGUGUGCUCACACAGCCAUUGUUCAACUCCACAUGGUUCAAUGCUGGAACAAAAUAAAAUAUUAAAUUAAAUUAAAAUAAGAAAA